This 147-nucleotide non-coding RNA is filed under the name Streptomyces sp. The record is from RNAcentral. Lineage: Bacteria; Bacillati; Actinomycetota; Actinomycetes; Kitasatosporales; Streptomycetaceae. RNAcentral also lists the same sequence under 1 other name.
GCCAUGCACCCGUCACGCGGUACCGUCGUGCCGAUAUGACGACGGCGAGACGGAAGCCGGUGGGAACCCGGCACGGUCGCGCCACUGUGUGCGAGGCCCUUGGGGCGCCUCGUGAGUCAGACCCGUGGCCGUCGUCCUUGUGCACCA